Long non-coding RNA from Serinus canaria (Common canary), 192 nucleotides. RefSeq lists it as uncharacterized. The transcript is spliced from 3 exons. NCBI's taxonomy places the organism in Eukaryota, Metazoa, Chordata, Aves, Passeriformes, Fringillidae. The record is from RefSeq and is a predicted model, not a curated record.
CCGGGGCCCUGCCGGAGCUGCGAGGAAGGCUGAGGAUGGGUCCCGCCGCCUUCCUGGGGCUCUGCCUGCUGGGGUGCCUGGUGCUGCCGCCCUCCCUGCCGGGGGCUCAGGCCACCAGGUGUCCCCGGGGGUGGCUGUCCUUCGAGGGACACUGCUAUGGCUACUUCGGGCAGCAGCUGAGCUGGAGGAGGG